RNAcentral lists this ribosomal RNA (489 nucleotides) under uncultured bacterium. RNAcentral's name for it is "partial 16S ribosomal RNA". It matches the Rfam family "Bacterial small subunit ribosomal RNA", at positions 29 to 506 of the family's 1533-position model. The record is from RNAcentral.
AGUGAACGCUGGCGGUAGGCCUAACACAUGCAAGUCGAACGGCAGCACAGGAGAGCUUGCUCUCUGGGUGGCGAGUGGCGGACGGGUGAGGAAUACAUCGGAAUCUGCCCAGUCGUGGGGGAUAACGUAGGGAAACUUACGCUAAUACCGCAUACGACCUUCGGGUGAAAGAGGGGGAUCGCAAGACCUCUCGCGAUUGGAUGAGCCGAUGUCGGAUUAGCUAGUUGGCGGGGUAAUGGCCCACCAAGGCGACGAUCCGUAGCUGGUCUGAGAGGAUGAUCAGCCACACUGGAACUGAGACACGGUCCAGACUCCUACGGGAGGCAGCAGUGGGGAAUAUUGGACAAUGGGCGCAAGCCUGAUCCAGCCAUACCGCGUGGGUGAAGAAGGCCUUCGGGUUGUAAAGCCCUUUUGUUGGGAAAGAAAUCUUUCAGGCUAAUACCCUGGGAGGAUGACGGUACCCAAAGAAUAAACACCGGCUAACUUCGU